This 497-nucleotide ribosomal RNA is filed under the name uncultured bacterium. RNAcentral's name for it is "partial 16S ribosomal RNA". It matches the Rfam family "Bacterial small subunit ribosomal RNA", at positions 28 to 507 of the family's 1533-position model. The record is from RNAcentral.
GAUGAACGCUGGCGGCGUGCCUAAUACAUGCAAGUCGAGCGAACAGACGAGGAGCUUGCUCCUCUGACGUUAGCGGCGGACGGGUGAGUAACACGUGGAUAACCUACCUAUAAGACUGGGAUAACUUCGGGAAACCGGAGCUAAUACCGGAUAAUAUAUUGAACCGCAUAGUUCAAUAGUGAAAGACGGUUUUGCUGUCACUUAUAGAUGGAUCCGCGCCGCAUUAGCUAGUUGGUAAGGUAACGGCUUACCAAGGCAACGAUGCGUAGCCGACCUGAGAGGGUGAUCGGCCACACUGGAACUGAGACACGGUCCAGACUCCUACGGGAGGCAGCAGUAGGGAAUCUUCCGCAAUGGGCGAAAGCCUGACGGAGCAACGCCGCGUGAGUGAUGUAGGUCUUCGGAUCGUAAAACUCUGUUAUUAGGGAAGAACAAAUGUGUAAGUAACUAUGCACGUCUUGACGGUACCUAAUCAGAAAGCCACGGCUAACUACGUG